UCCGGUUUGUCACCGGCAGUCCCUCUAGAGUCCCCGGCAUGAUCCGCUGGCAACUAGAAGCAGGGGUUGCGCUCGUUGCGGGACUUAACCCAACAUCUCACGGCACGAGCUGACGACAGCCAUGCAGCACCUGUGCUAGCUCCCCGAAGGGUCCUUCAUGUUUCCAAUCCGUACCACUAGCAUGUCAAGCCUUGGUAAGGUUCUUCGCGUUGCGUCGAAUUAAACCACAUGCUCCGCUGCUUGUGCGGGCCCCCGUCAAUUCCUUUGAGUUUCAGCCUUGCGGCCGUACUCCCCAGGCGGGGCACUUCAUGCGUUAGCGCCGGCACCCAGGGGGUCGCUCCCCCAAGCACCUAGUGCCCAUCGUUUACGGCGUGGACUAC
Molecule: unclassified non-coding RNA, 380 nt
Filed under: uncultured bacterium
Lineage: Bacteria
Description: contains 16S-23S intergenic spacer region
Source: RNAcentral